AUUGAACGCUGGCGGCAGGCCUAACACAUGCACGUCGAGCGAGCGGCGGACGGGUGAGUAAUGUCUGGGAAACUGCCUGAUGGAGGGGGAUAACUACUGGAAACGGUAGCUAAUCCCGCAUACCAUCAGAUGUGCCCAGAGGGGAUGAGCUAGUAGGUGGGGUAAUGGCUCACCUAGGCGACGAUCCCUAGCUGGUCUGAGAGGAUGACCAGCAACACUGGAACUGAGACACGGUCCAGACUCCUACGGGAGGCAGCAGUGGGGAAUAUUGCACAAUGGGCGCAAGCCUGAUGCAGCCAUGCCGCGUGUAUGAAGAAGGCCUUCGGGUUGUAAAGCACUUUCAGCGAGGAGGCGUUACUCGCAGAAGAAGCACCGGCUAACUCCGUGACAGCAGCCGCGGUAAUUC
This 406-nucleotide ribosomal RNA is filed under the name uncultured bacterium. RNAcentral describes it as "partial 16S ribosomal RNA". It matches the Rfam family "Bacterial small subunit ribosomal RNA", at positions 30 to 526 of the family's 1533-position model. The record is from RNAcentral.